Molecule: non-coding RNA, 246 nt
Filed under: Bacillus sp. (in: firmicutes)
Lineage: Bacteria; Bacillati; Bacillota; Bacilli; Caryophanales; Bacillaceae
Description: Bacillus sp. T-box sequence
Rfam family: T-box leader
About the family: Uncharged tRNA acts as the effector for transcription antitermination of genes in the T-box leader family.
Source: RNAcentral
CCAAAUGCGAUGAAGAGAAGAGUAAAUAAAAUCAAUUCUUUCAAGAGAGCUCCGUUUGGUGAAAAGGAGUAAGGAUGAUUUAUCGAAUCAAGCCUCUGAGUAGUAUAUCGGAACCUUUUAGGGGAUGAUGUGACGGGAGCUCCCGUUAUAGAGCUAAGGUAUUGGAUUAUUUUACCUAAUAAGAUUAAUAUGGCGACAUAUUAAUAAACUGGGGUGGCACCACGAUUAACAAAUCUCGUCCCCAAG